Molecule: ribosomal RNA, 404 nt
Filed under: uncultured bacterium
Lineage: Bacteria
Description: bacterial SSU rRNA
Rfam family: Bacterial small subunit ribosomal RNA
Source: RNAcentral
UGAGGAAUAUUGGACAAUGGGCGAAAGCCUGAUCCAGCAAUGCCGCGUGAGUGACGAAGGCCUUAGGGUUGUAAAGCUCUUUCAGCAGGGAAGAUAAUGACGGUAUCUGCAGAAGAAGCUCCGGCUAACUCCGUGCCAGCAGCCGCGGUAAUACGGAGGGAGCUAGCGUUGUUCGGAAUUACUGGGCGUAAAGGGCGCGUAGGCGGCUUGUCAAGUUGGGAGUGAAAUCCUGGGGCUUAACCCCAGAACUGCUCUCAAAACUGGCUCGCUGGAGAUCGGUAGGGGAUGGUGGAAUUCCUAGUGUAGAGGUGAAAUUCGUAGAUAUUAGGAGGAACACCGGUGGCGAAGGCGACCAUCUGGACCGAUUCUGACGCUGAGGCGCGAAAGCGUGGGUAGCAAACAGG